CCACCUUUGACAUGGCAGGAAGGCUUCAGAGAUGAGGCUGUGCUCGAAAGAGAACCUGCACACAGGUGCUGCAUGGCUGUCGUCAGCUCGUGUCGUGAGAUGUUGGGUUAAGUCCCGCAACGAGCGCAACCCUUGCCAUUAGUUGCUACGAAAGGGCACUCUAAUGGGACUGCCGGUGACAAGCCGGAGGAAGGUGGGGAUGACGUCAAGUCCUCAUGGCCCUUAUAGGUGGGGCUACACACGUCAUACAAUGGCCGGUACAAAGGGCAGCCAACCCGCGAGGGGGAGCCAAUCCCAUAAAGCCGGUCGUAGUCCGGAUCGCAGUCUGCAACUCGACUGCGUGAAGUCGGAAUCGCUAGUAAUCGUGGAUCAGCAUGUCACGGUGAAUACGUUCCC
Molecule: ribosomal RNA, 396 nt
Filed under: uncultured bacterium
Lineage: Bacteria
Description: bacterial SSU rRNA
Rfam family: Bacterial small subunit ribosomal RNA
Source: RNAcentral